GACCGCGCACGCAUCCACUCCGCCCGCCCUAACGAACGAACGAAUUCGAAACAUUAUAAUACAUUUAAAUUGAUUCGUAAUUGUUAAAAACGCUGUGUUUGAAACGUGACCGCCGGAUUUUGAGUGACUGAAGUUUCCACUUGACUUUGAACGAAUGUUGGUGCUGUCAAUAGCCGGAGGCUAUUUACACGAAACCUUGAGGACUUUUUGGUUUUUUGUUGGGGCAUUUCAGGUAUACGACAAAGGGAAGAUCUUCCACCGAGCGGGUGGUUGUUUAGUAGAUCGCCACAUAAUUUCCCGUCCGUGCUGAGAUUAGCUUGCAAGUGCCAGUGCUGCUCGAAGUCUGAGGUGAGUUGAGACUGAGCUUGAAUGAUGCGUCAGUACCGUGAGUAGUCCAUGUUUGCAGAACUACCACGCUGGAGAUGCGUGACCCCAAGCGUUGAUGAUCCGGCAGUGGGCUGCGAUGAACUGUAGGGUCGUGAUGAUGCAGUGAAGGUGCGUGCCGAAGGACCAGGAAGCGCGGCGAGUCAGCUGCGAUGGAUCUGUUGAGGAUGCUGGCUUGCUGUGGGACGAGUGUUGAUGACUUGUUUAUAUCUGCGUUAAUGCGGGCAUUGUGGUACCUGCAGUUCUUGAUGCGCUGAUGAUGAAGUGUGAAAGCUGAAAUUGUUCCGUCGCAGGUCACCAGUUUGUACGACAAAGGGAAGAUCUUCCUCCGAGCGGGUAAUAUUGACCGACGCUGCGACGGUCCGAAUAUUGUUGUUCGGAACUUGAAUGUAAGCCUGUAUGCAAGCUUAUCAGGCAUCUGUCAAAUAUCUUGCGUUUGUGUGAUGGCUAUUCGCCACACUUACAUACCUGUGCAUACAUACAGUUUUCGCACCUAAUUGAAGCCCAUAGUUUUUACAACUCGAUUGAGUCAGGUAAGACUAAGAUGGAUUUCCAUGUACCGUCGUAACACUCAUCACUGGCCAAAACCUCAUCGCGACUUCUUUAAAUCAUUGCGUUCAUCUAUGUGUUUCCGAGUUAAAUUUAACAUAUACAAUUAGAUGCUGAGAUAAACUCCGCUCUAAGGCAUUGUCUGAGCGCUACAAUAAGCUUUUUUUUAUCAUGAUUUUAUUUACUUGGUAUGUGUUUAAUUAUGCAUACCUAACGGAAUUUUAUAAUCUCUAUAUAUAAAAAUGAAUUGCUGUUCAUUAGUCUCGCUAAAACUCGAGAACGGCUGAACCGAUUUGGCUAAUUUUGGUCUUGAAUUAUUUGUGGAAGUCCAGAGAAGGUUUAAAAGGUAGAUAAAUAUGAAAAUGCUCGGAAUUAAAUAAAAAUAACAAUUUUGUUUUUCCUUUGAUGAGUCCCCCGUCGGACCGAUUCCUUUUGUUUGUUUUAAGUUUAUUUUAUACAAAAAUUUAGGUCUUUUAUUUAUCGAUUGAGGCACUACGAAGUCAGCUGGGUCAGCUAGUAGUUAUAUAAAUUUGGUUUAAUAUCCUAACAGAUAAAAAAUAUUAAAUUAAUCGUUAGUUUGAUUUGCUAUUUAAACGUGUUUUUUUUUGUUUUUUUUUUAAACUACAUAAUUUAUUCAAACGAGGCUUGCAAGUAGUCGAUACGAAUAAACAAGAUUCGUACCAUUUCUUGAACGUGAUGAUCAAUAUUGACAGAUCUCUUUUGACAAAUGGCAUCAAGUCAUAUAUGACUAAAAUAAUAAUAUGUUGAAAUAGAAGAAUAUUUUAGCGGUGGUUAAAUUUUAUAUUUUUUGUUGUUUUGUAUUUUUAUAACGAAGUUUGGUAAUAUAUGCUUUUGAUUAUUGAUUGUCUUUGAAUGAAAUAUCUAAAAAUGCGAUUUGAAUAGAAAUGAACAUUCGCAUUGUACUCAAGUCGAAACAAGACAAAGGAACAUCAACUAAUACUUUGAGUAUCGCUUCGAUGAUAACUCUGAAACAUCGACCACUGUGCGAGGUGCAAACAACUAGGCCCGCCUACGAGACUACUAAAGGAACAAAAAAGAAAAUGCGCAGUCUGCCCUCGCUCCUAAAGAAUUACGCGUUCGGUACACGGGUGAAUCAUGUGGAUACAAAAAGGAAUGGGAAUCCGCGUUUGUUCGUAUCGUUGACUCGAAUAACUCGAUGCAUCGGACCGAGAUAUCAACGUACAGCUGCCGAUAUAAAUGCGUAAAUUAUUACACUAA
This is a long non-coding RNA of Bombyx mori (domestic silkworm), 2172 nucleotides long. RefSeq lists it as uncharacterized. The record is from RefSeq and is a predicted model, not a curated record. The transcript is spliced from 3 exons. NCBI's taxonomy places the organism in Eukaryota, Metazoa, Arthropoda, Insecta, Lepidoptera, Bombycidae.